UCCGUGCCAGCAGCCGCGGUAAUACGGAGGGUGCGAGCGUUAAUCGGAAUUACUGGGCGUAAAGCGUGCGUAGGCGGUUCGUUAAGUCAGAUGUGAAAGCCCUGGGCUCAACCUGGGAACUGCAUUUGAAACUGGCGGACUAGAGUUUAGUAGAGGGGAGUGGAAUUUCAGGUGUAGCGGUGAAAUGCGUAGAUAUCUGAAGGAACACCAGUGGCGAAGGCGACUCCCUGGACUAGAACUGACGCUGAGGUACGAAAGCGUGGGUAGCAAACAGGAUUAGAUACCCUGGUAGUCCACGCCGUAAACGAUGUC
This 312-nucleotide ribosomal RNA is filed under the name uncultured bacterium. RNAcentral describes it as "bacterial SSU rRNA". It matches the Rfam family "Bacterial small subunit ribosomal RNA", at positions 502 to 813 of the family's 1533-position model. The record is from RNAcentral.